Mesocricetus auratus (golden hamster) is the source of this 256-nucleotide unclassified non-coding RNA. Its record names the gene 7SK. It matches the Rfam family "7SK RNA". From Rfam's summary of the family: 7SK was discovered as an abundant small nuclear RNA in the mid-70s but a possible function has only recently been suggested. Two independent studies have found that 7SK RNA binds the CDK9/cyclin T complex (known as elongation factor P-TEFb). P-TEFb activates transcription by phosphorylating the C-terminal domain of RNA polymerase II. The record is from Ensembl. NCBI's taxonomy places the organism in Eukaryota, Metazoa, Chordata, Mammalia, Rodentia, Cricetidae.
AAAUGUGAGGGAGAGCUGGCCAUGACUUAUGUCACCCCAGUGAUGGCCAGGGUUGAUUUGCUGAUGUGUCUGGCUAGGCAGGUGUCCCCUUCCUCCAUCACCGCUCCACGCGUGUCCCUCUCGAAGCUGCACGCUGGAUCGAAGAGGACGAUCUUCCCUAAAUAGAGGACCGGUCUUUGGUCAAGGGUAUGCUGUUGGGAGAUGUCAUCCUGUAAAUAUGUGUCUGACUGGUUUGAAUGAAGCACUGUUGGCCAAU